GGUUGUGGCUUAGUGGCAGAGGACUCACCUAGCACGUGUGAGGCCCUGGGUUCGAUCCUCAGUACCA
RNAcentral lists this transfer RNA (67 nucleotides) under Marmota monax (woodchuck). RNAcentral describes it as "tRNA.Ala". Lineage: Eukaryota; Metazoa; Chordata; Mammalia; Rodentia; Sciuridae. The record is from RNAcentral.